This is a long non-coding RNA of Myripristis murdjan (pinecone soldierfish), 2716 nucleotides long. RefSeq lists it as uncharacterized. Lineage: Eukaryota; Metazoa; Chordata; Actinopteri; Holocentriformes; Holocentridae. The transcript is spliced from 2 exons. The record is from RefSeq and is a predicted model, not a curated record.
UGUCCGAUUUGGCACCUUACACAGGAACAGCCGCUUCUCCCAAACGAGAUCAGCAUUAUUUGCUACUCCUGCAACAUCAGUACGGAUGUUUAUCAUCAUUUUCACAAUUACAUUAACAUUGGAAACCCGUCGUGCACAGGGGCCCACAGGCAGCGGAUGUGGCUGGCACCCAGCUGCUGGUGGCCCUCUCAAUGGUCUCUCCCACCAUGAAAGCGCUGGUGGAUGCCGUGUGGGCGGUGUGGAGCAUCGGGGCCUCCAUCUAUGACUACAUCCACACCAGCGCAAUGGAGGAGCGCAUCCACGCCUUGGAGAACGUCAUCACCAUCCACCAGUGUGUGAUUGGGCUGCUGUCGGCAGGAGUGGUGGUGCUCUUCACCUACAUCCUUUUCAAGAAGCUGUGAGAGGGUGUGUGGGAAUGUGUGGGGAGAGGUGGACUGACUGGAUUGCCACUCAGGUUUCCCGUGUGGUUAACCAAACAUCCAGAACGACAACAGUGGGGAACCAGUGUUGGCUGAGGAUGACGUUCUGGCUUCCAAGGGCGGCGGCUCUUUCCACGCCAUCCAUGGAGGCUGGAUGUAGUUUCCAUGGGGGGAGACGGCAAGGACGGGGUGGGGAGGAACCUGAGAUGUCCACGGGUAUUCUCUCUAAUCAGACAAGGUGAUGGGAAGUAGCAUCGAAGACAUAGAUGAUUGACAGUGGAGAAUGUGCUUUGGUCAAGAACUGAACACUUGCUCAUGUUCAUGUUCCUAUAACCACCGGACUAGCAUGGAUGGAUGCUGUGGUAAACCUGGUGUGCAGCUGUCUUGGUUGUAAGACUGAAGGUGGGGUUGCCAUGUCCAACAUCAGCAGUGUUUGCUGAGGAGGUCAGCAUGUGUGACAAAGAGUUGAGUGAUAAGGGUUUUUUCUAAGGUGGAUACUGAGAUCUUUUUCUAUUGAAGCUGGUGAUAUGUGAUGUUUUCUACCCUUAUAAAAAAAAAACAUAUUCUCCUAUUUUCAUGCAAUUUAAAUACAAUUUAAACAACUUAAUGGAUCCUUAACAGAGUGGAAAAGUGACCUUGGGAGACAAAAACGCUCCUGCAGCUCCUUAAGAGAGGAUGAGGCACAUUUCAGUUUACUGACAGAUUCACCUGAAUCUGCUGAGUAACACACCAACUGGAAGGAAUUCUCUGAUCAAUCUUAACAUUUAUCCAUCACAUCAGAAAUGGGCAACACUGGAAACAAUAUCUGAUUGAUUGUAAAAACACAAAUACCUGCAAACCAAUAGGCUGUAUUGGUCCAUCCCAGUGUGGGAACUCUACACCAAACAUGAUAGCAGUGUUUGUCUUUAGUAUUUCCAUAACAUUCAUGUAACAUCCAUAUUUACGUAAGACAAGUGUCAUCUGACGGCAUGUUUCAGCCCUAAGCCUCAGCUACACAUUUGUCAAAUCUUCUCUAAAGGGAUCAUAACUUAAAAUAUCACUCCAGUACAACUUUUGCCUUAACACACUUGAUGUUUUUACUAUCAAGAGUCUGGUCGGUAGAGGCAUAAUCUGUUUUCAUGUUUGCACUAAUUUCUUACAAAGCCUGAGUAAGACAUUAGAAACACACCAUGUCCAUGUGAAAUGGUGUGUCUCACUCUCACAUGCCAAUGAUUGGAAAGUGCCAAUUUGCUUUGAUGUCCCAGAGGUUUUUAGUAGAUGAGAUGAUCAAGAGAAAGCGAGAUCAUGUGACUGAAUAUAAUUUUCAUUAGGACCUCCAAACUAAUCUAGUGUACUGGCCUCUAGGAUCUCUUAUGAAUCAUCUUUUUUCAAUGAAUGGAGGAGACCAGUGCCAUUACACUAUCCACUAAUUUGUGUUAUUCAUUGUUUUGUCUUGAGGCAUCAGAUAAGAGAAAAUACAGCUUAAGAUCCCUCGACAUAAAUCACAGGUCUGUAUAUGUAUUAUCAGUAAUAUUUGACUUUGACAGUGAAAAUUAUUUGUAUUACUGGUAUUAUUUGACUUUGACAGUGAAAAAUAAUGAUCCACUUUUUUUUUUUUUUUUUGAUAACAUUUUGUUGUACCUCAGUUCUCCAGUCACUGUAGAGGCAAGCGCUGUAUAAAACAAAGAACUGGAUAGAACGAUUCAAAGUGUCCUUAAAAAAAUCUACAUUUGAAUGUUCAUGGACAUCAAGCUUUUCUAUAGAUGGCCAUCUACUAAAUUAGAUCAUGUGUCUAAAAGGUUUUGUGGAUGUGGUACUGUUACAGGACAUUUGCUGCUUAAUAUUUGUGGUAUUAUUUUAUGAAGGCAAGAUUUUGCACCAUUUGAAAGGCAAGCAUUGACAUAGUGCUUCAUUGACUUGAUUUUCACUACCUGACUACUGAGUCUUGAAAUGUAUAAUAUGAAAUGAGAGGUUUAUUAUGUUACUAGAGGAUAAAGACAGUUUCUGUCACAAUAACUGUAACACAAACUACCUUCACUCACCUACAAAGAAAACUUUGUUUAAAGAAGUUGUGGGUCAUUGAAAUCUACUGCCAAAUGGGCUCAGUGCUCAGUGCUGUAACUACUAGCUGUCAGUGACAGAUAGUAGUUACAGGUAUACAGAUGUACGAUUGUUCAUAUCUAUGUGCAUUUGCUACAGUCCCAGAGGGACCACAAUAGAAAGUAAACUGAUGAUGAAAGGAUGUUUUAUUUCUUUACAAUAGCAUCAAGGUUUGUCAUCUCAAAAUGCAAAAUAAAUGUGGAACUCUUGCAAUUACA